ACGAUGACGGUGGUGCUUGCACCGCCUGAUUAGUGGCGAACGGGUGAGUAACACGUGAGUAACCUGCCCUCCACUUCGGGAUAACCUCGGGAAAUCGUGGCUAAUACCGGAUAUGAGCACUCAUCGCAUGGUGAGUGCUGGAAAGAUUUAUCGGUGGGGGAUGGACUCGCGGCCUAUCAGUUUGUUGGUGAGGUGAUGGCUCACCAAGACGAUGACGGGUAGCCGGCCUGAGAGGGCGACCGGCCACACUGGGACUGAGACACGGCCCAGACUCCUACGGGAGGCAGCAGUGGGGAAUAUUGCACAAUGGGCGAAAGCCUGAUGCAGCGACGCCGCGUGGGGGAUGACGGCCUUCGGGUUGUAAACCCCUUUCAGUAGGGAAGAAGCGAGAGUGACGGUACCUGCAGAAGAAGCGCCGGCUAACUACGUGCCAGCAGCCGCGGUAAUACGUAGGGCGCAAGCGUUGUCCGGAAUUAUUGGGCGUAAAGAGCUUGUAGGUGGCUUGUCGCGUCUGCCGUGAAAACCCGAGG
RNAcentral lists this ribosomal RNA (530 nucleotides) under uncultured bacterium. RNAcentral's name for it is "bacterial SSU rRNA". It matches the Rfam family "Bacterial small subunit ribosomal RNA", at positions 66 to 607 of the family's 1533-position model. The record is from RNAcentral.